Molecule: long non-coding RNA, 1751 nt
Organism: Equus asinus (donkey)
Lineage: Eukaryota; Metazoa; Chordata; Mammalia; Perissodactyla; Equidae
Source: Ensembl
CAGAGCUCCAGCAUGGUGCCUAGUGCAGUGACCGUUCAGCAGUGUGCGCUGGCCUGGCAUGGAGUAGAGGCCCGUCCAUGUGUGCAGGUGCAGACAGAGCUGGCCUGGCUGCCCUGCCUGAGGCUGAGCUCCCCACUAGUCCCUGGACCUCUAAGGGCCCUGCCCUCCCCUCUCUGCCACCAUCUGGCCCCUGAACACUGCCAGGUGCUCUCUGCAGGGUCUCACCCCGGCCACCCUAAAGAAGGGCAACGUGGAGUCCCAUCCUGCCGUUGCUGCCUGCUUACGUGCUGUGCAACCUCAGCUGGCUAAUUGGUGAGACACCAAAGAAAGCAGGAACGCACCUAUGAGUUAGAGUCCAGAGCGACCGGGUCCGUCUACUCUACCGCCGCACACCCCUCCCGCCCGCCUGGCUCGGUCCUGGGGGGACUCACGCGAAAAUCAAAGCCACCGACAACUUCACAACGACUAUGUGCACGCCCGGACACUCAAGAGGAGCGGAAAACUCACACAGAGCAAGGAAGCAACGUUUGUGACGAUUUUACUGGCCCUUCUGCCAUUUCUAGCUUUGCCCCUCCCCCCUCAACACAUCUUAUUCACAAUUUGCAUCGCACAUCAUUAUUUCCUGGGGAUCCAGAGGAAUGCUUUCCUUCUGAGAUCUUUUUCUUUCUUUCUUUCCUUUUUUAUUUUUUCUUUUUGGUUCAAUAUCCAAAGUUUAAAACAGAAGUCAGGAACCAGGAAGCAUAUGCGGACGUCCAGUGUCUGGUUUGUACGCCGUGGACGGUAAAUGUCAGUGACCUCCGGCUGCAAAUGCAGGUGUCCUCUCAGCAUCUGAACAGCGAAGGGAAAUGGAUUGUGCCAAAUAUCCGAGUAAUUGUGUAAGGCCCUCAGAGCUGGGUUUUGGCUUCAGCAAGAUUUCUAUACAAUUUACCACAUUCUUGAACCUCUUUAUAAAGGGGAAAAGAAGGAACCCAAUCCUGUGAUUGUUAAUUUUAAUUAGAGUAGAUAUGUACAUAUAAUACUGUCCAGGUCACCUGGAUUUUACAGUGAUAUAUAAACAAACAUUCUUCAUUCACGUUGAUUAAAAAAGAAAAACAUAUCAAUGGACCCAUUUCCUCGUGUAAAUAUCAUGGCCGGAAGUGAGCGCACAUGCGUUUUGUGCUUUGACCCACACAAAAAUACACCGUUAUCCAUUGAGAAAAAUCUUGGGCGGGGUCUAGUUCCCGGAUGAGGGGACAUCUUGCUAAAAAAGGUUGGAUUCCGUUGGGCCUCUGCACUCUGCUUUUGGAAUCAAAAUGCAAAGCCACGUGCUUCCGUGGCAAAUCCAUGGGCAAAGACAACAAGUGGGCAUGGUUGGCACGGUGGGCGGGUCUGGUCUUGACAGAGCAGGAGGAACACUGUGGCCCUCAGGAAAGUGUCCUCUGAGACGGUGUGAUCAUUAAAGAAAAGGUAUCCUAAAAUGGUCAGAUCAUGCAGUUUUCUUCUGGAGGCAGUUCAGUGCAUCUGAGCGAGGAGCUCGGGUGCAGACGUGGGGCAGAGUGGGGAGUCCUGAAGUUACCCAACGGCGAGGAGCACCGGGGUCUUCUCCAUUCUCCAUUCCGAGUCUCGGACCCUCGUCAUCAUCCCACCUGCUCUGUCCUGCUUCACGGGAUGAAGAGACGUCUCCAGAACCUUCCAGGCUAGACUGUCCCUUUAAUAUGAGCCACCAAUGCAAUGGAUCAGGAGGCGCCUGUGCGAAGACCUGGACGGGAGUC